Cynoglossus semilaevis (tongue sole) is the source of this 5907-nucleotide RNA transcript. It is a transcript of the gene named tumor protein p63 regulated 1, with no coding region annotated. The transcript is spliced from 7 exons. NCBI's taxonomy places the organism in Eukaryota, Metazoa, Chordata, Actinopteri, Pleuronectiformes, Cynoglossidae. The record is from RefSeq and is a predicted model, not a curated record.
UUUUUUUCCCCCUUGGCCAGGUUUUCUGCUUUGUUUUCAUGUUUCUGUCCGUCAGUUGAUUGAAAUGUAGUGGAAAACUAUGGAAGAAAACAAACAGUUCACAUCCAUUGUUUGUCAAUUUGAAUGACCUCACUUACCUCAAUAACCAUGUACACACUCAAAGUCAGAGUUUAUCUACAUAGCAUUUCCAGCAGAGACGGGUAAAGUUUAACUGAAGAACCAUGCAUUGUUAUGUUCUCAUCACAUUUCGUAUAAACUUCCAACGGAUUGAUUAGUUUUAUUGCCUGACAGAAGAUGGAAAAUGAUUGGAUCUGGACUCCUGUCUAUUCUAACAAAUACUAAAGAGCAUAGAAAUCCAGAAAUCCUACAUGUGGGAGUAGUUAAGCAACCAUGCAGAAAGAAUGUCUUUAGAAAUCUGUCGACAUUUCUUUGACGACUACAGAUUACAACAGGGAGAACUCAUUGACAGACCUAAGCCUGAGAAUAAGCGGCUUCACUCCACUGUGCAAUGUCAAAAAAUAUUAACAUAAAUACAGACUGAUGUUUAAAUAGUGACGGUAUUUUGGGAUUUGUGCUAUGUGGAAAUAUCUCCUUUGCUUUCUUUUGACAAUUAGAUUCAUCCCACAUCUGCUUGUUGGGUUAUUUUCCCAGUGGGAUAAUUCCCUAUUGCCGUUCACUUGUGUUUUAGGAAAAACAAAUCCAAAAGUGGAAAUAGGGCCUGGGUGAGGAAAUUCAAAGCAAGCCAAAGCCAGUCUAUUAUACAUGAACAGGUUAUUUUGGUCAUUAGCAACUAUUCUUAACUUUAAUGCAGUCAGUCAUACUGGGUGAUCACAAACCCUCACAUUGGUAAAAAACAAAAAACAUUUGGACCACUGUCGAUGCAUCAAAGAUUUUAUUGUACAGGAAUUAGACUUUAGCUUCGAUGAAUAUUGGAGAACUAAACUGAUAAGUUAAAACAAACACAAUAAACAUUGUUUUUGGGAUAUAAAGGGUUCCUAACCCAAAUAGUAAACAUCUUGAGUUAGGAAUUUGUCAUGACAGUCAGAGUAGAGGCGAACCCUGGAAGAAAAGGUUGUUUUUGGUUGUGAGUGUCCAAUGAUAUCAUUGGUCAUCAGGAGUUUAUUUAAAAUUGUUGACAUCAUCCAUAUUGUGGUGCCUUACAACACACAUAAUGUUCUGUUUUCUGUCACCUUCUAUCGCAAAGUAAUUGUCAUUUUUUUACAGAACAACUGGUGAUUAAGAUUCAAACUCGAGUAAUAGUUGGGUUAUGGAUGGCCAUGUCAAGUGAUUUUUGUAUGACAAAUGCAAAAAAGAAACAGUGAUAUGACGUCAUUUCCGAGGUUAUGACUUAGCUUACUACUUUACCAUGGUACUAAUCUUAGGAACACAAGGAAUGGCUGUCUGUGGGAUCAGUAUGGCAGUGAAUGAGCAGUGAUUAUACAGUACUAAACCAAAGUUGUCUAGAUGUCAAUCAUGUCUGACUUAUGAAGUUGGCUCUCUCACGUGCACAUGGACGUGCGCACAUUCACAUACUUUACGUGUGCGCGCAUCGAAGGAAAGAAAUGAGGAAGUAGGUGCACCUGUUGAACUACUGACGUUCUAACUUGUAACAACCUGUUUAAGUGCCGGUGCUGUGAAGCUCCAUCAUGUCAGAGGCUGAGGAACACACUGUCUCUGGAGAGAUAUCUGGAGAGCUGGAGGAGCAGCAGCUCGACACAAGCACCGAAGAGGACUGUCCGCCCGACGACCGCAGUCAGUUCACCGAUGAGCAGGCUGCUGAAUGCGGAAAAGCCCGCACAGAGAGCACGGAGGGACGGGCAGCAGCAGACGCAGCGGCCGCUACUGUUACUUCAUCUCCACAACAGUUCAAAACGAAGAAGUUCUUCGUUUUGAGGCCUGGCACGCUGAAUCAGGCCAUCAAGGAUGUUGAAGGACUGGUGGAUAAAGAAGUAGAUGGAGCCAUUCAAGGUUUCUGGCUGGUGGCAGAGGUUGACCACUGGAAUAACGAAAAGGAGCGAAUUGUCCUCAUCACAGAAAACUCCCUGCUGAUCGUCAAGUACGACUUUGUCAUGUUCAACUGUGACCAAAUCCAGAGGAUCCCGCUGAACUACGUGGACCGCAUCUCCCAUGGUACCUUCAGCUUCCCCAAGCACUCACUCCUCCAGAGAUCAGGGGACGGGGUGCGCGUCUUCUGGGACCGGCUCAGAGAGCCCUCCUUCAUCUCCAGGUGGAACCCGUUUGCCACUGACUUCCCUUUCAGCACCUUCACCUACCACCCUGUGAGGAACACGAGUGACACGUUUGAGUCUCUCUGCGACGUGCUGUUUGGUGAUUCCUUCUUGACAGGCUGGCCUGGUAACUGGAGGAUUGACAGUUUGAAUCCCGGCCUUGGAAGGACUGCAACAGGACCCCAAAUUCCUCAGAUAACAGAGCAGGUGUCUUAAGACAUACUUUAAGCCACUGGAUAAUAAUAGUAAUAUUGAUGUUAAUAAUAAUAAUAGGUUGUGUUGUUAUUGUUGCUGUUGUUUUUAUUAUUAGAAUUAUUGUUGUUAUUAUUACCAUAUACUUGCUUGAAAAUAUGCCACUCUAGUAACUUGAUUCUCCAUGACCCCUUUCACCACAACCUGCCGCGCACCAGUCGACCAAUGUUGGGUGUUUUCUAUUGCAGUUGAGUGUCUCAUUGCCCUAAGACAUGGGUAGUUUACUUAAAUAGGUCAACAGUGUCAGGGAACAAUGACAAAAGCAAGACGAGCAAUUUGGUAAACAUCUGAAGAGUUGGGAAUGCACUAAUGUCUCUUCUCAGUGAACAGCAACGGGACUUAUUCAAUCAGAUGUCUCUUUUGAAGCAGAAAUAGAACAGGAUGAAAAUGCUUGAAUCUCACUUUUAGGAAUGUUACAUUUUAGUUUAGAAAAACAUAUUAAUUGGAGUUCAGACUGUGAAAAAAAUAACGUACGUCAAGGUGACAGGAGGUCAGGGAGGUCACUUCCUCUGUGUCUCCCUCCACAGGUCUAAGGUGAAACUGUAGCUGAUUUUUAACACCGUGAUGUGGAAGAUGAUCAGGAAAGUUUAAAAACUGCCCAUCGGUGCCUGUGACCCUGGAUGGCCCUGGUGAACAGGGCUGUUUUAAAUGCUUGGGGCAAGUAACAUAAGACAAAUUCUGCACUGAGACACUUUUGCUGUGCUGGCGUGGCAUGCAGGCUUCUCAUCUUUCUGGAAUUCCUUCAGAGCUCUGAUCGAUAUGCCAGCUUGGAUACCAAGCUUCUUUCCACAGGUCAUACAUCCUCAAGUCACCAUUUUCAUUUCUCCGAUGUGUGUUUGGUAAACAUGUUACACCCGUCGGAGGAAUGUUGGUUGCUAACGAGCCAAGUCCAACAGCAUUUAAAUAUUUAGUGGCACUUUCACCCUUCUUCUUACCUCUUCCAUCUGUUGCCCUCGAAACAGUGAAUACAGGAAGUGAAGACGGAGUGAAUGUGUGAGGUGUGGCCUGUGUGUGUCUGUGUGCGCGCACACCCGUGUUGUAUCACAGUAGCAUGUGUAUGUACACAGAGGUUGUUGAGGUGUUGUCUGGCUUCCUGUAAUGUGCUGGAGGUUUAGACACUGUUUUUUUAUUUAUGCCAGUCGCAGCUGUCACUGUUGUGUCUGGAGUGUGUUUACUGAACUCUGGGCUAUGGACUUGGAUUUCUGUCAGAACCACUGACCCUCCCAACUACAGAGAGCGCGACGGUCCAGAACACACCCUGGAUUCCUGUCAAAGGAAACAAAAGCCUCAGCAUUCAUGAAGUGUUUCACCUUUGGAUGACCUCUGCUUUUCUUAACGUUACUGAGAAAAGAUCAGCGAUAAAAAUGUCUUUCCUCCUGGAAAGUGUAAUUUAAGAUUAAUAUACAGAACACUGUAGAAUCAUUGCACUUGAUAAUCAUUGAACAAGACAAAAACUAAAGAAUUGUAAUACUAAAAAGACAGUAAUUUAUGUGAAAACAAAGGGGACAAGUAAAGGUUUAGCAUUAUGUUUUGUUCUGUAUUUAAAUUGGUGUCUUUCUAUUGUACAGUCAUGGGAGCCUCUAUUCAAACAACCAGGUUAAAGUUAUAUACCUACAUUGAAAAACGUUAAAAAUAUAUUAUAAACAUUAUUAUAAUAUAUACACAUAAUAUAUAUUUUAUAGGUUUUGGUACUGAUUAAAUGCAUGUAGCUGUAUGGCACGAUAUGAUUAAAUUCUAAGAGUAUAUGGUCACUAUAACUGCAUAUAGAAUUAUAUUGAUAUUAUUCUUGUUUAAAUUGCUUUUAGUCUACCAGCACUACCUUUGUAAUCUAGCAUAACUGUAACCACUAAUACUGCUACUAAUACUAUAACAACAACUACUACUAGUAAUAAUAAUAUUCAUAUUAUUAUUAUUAAUAUUAAUAGUGUGUAUUAAAACGAGGGCUGUCACAAUUACUUGAUAUUACAAUUAAGUGCGUAUUAAGUUUACAAUUAGAAUUUAUCGUUUUCCUUAAAACCGUUAGAAAGUACUAUAAGGAACUAUAAUUAAGCGCAACUCCAACGGAGCGAAAACAAAGUUGCACAACACCCGCGUUCUACCGCGUGUUUUGCUUUGUUUUCGUUCCCUGGAAGCUUCAGGUGUGGGAAAAAUGACGGAAGAAGAAUUAUUCCUCCGAAAAGUAUGAUUAUUUUUGCGACUAUGGAUGACGGACUGUCAGCAUUUAAAGCAUGGCAUUAAAAACUCAUCGGACUCAUUUGUUCGUCAAAGUACAGAAGCUGGACAGGGGGUCGGCAGUGCUGGGACUAAGCCCCGAUGACAAGCCACUGGAAUGGCUGCGGUGGAGACGCAUGAGCAGAAUCUGCAUGAGGAGGAGGACGAGGAAUGACCUGAGCUCCAAACAAACACACACAGUAGAUAACCCACAUAAUCCACAUGUUAAAAUCCCAUAACUGCGUUUAAUCUAAUACAUGUGAUAUAUUUUUAUUACUGUGGUGAAAAAAUGUGGAUUUGAUUUAUGUUGUUGAAAUGGUGGUUUAGACUUUAUGUUCAGGCUGUGUCUGUUUUAGGGUCCAGCUUUUAACGUUCACCUCUCUGCCAGAUGGAAACAAGCGUCUGUGUCUUUUACACAUGCAAAUACAGGCAUAGUGUGCUUACUGUAGUUUAGAGUACAAACUUCUACAAUAUAUCUUAAUGUGACUCAUUUGAAAGUUUCUUUUAUUUUGACAUGUUCAUUAUAUUUGAAUAUUCACCUAGCAGUCAGAAAUAAUUGAUCAUAUACAGCAGGAGUGGGCAAACAUUUUGGCUCGCAGGCCAGAAUGAAGUUCAAAAUUUGGUGGGUCGUUUUAGUAUCGGUUGGAUGCAGAAUGCUCGUUGAAAUAAUAUAAAUAAAAGCAGUUGGUUUAAACAUCGUUAAUUGUAUGGGUCAGGGUCCUGGGCUUGACCUGUUGCACAGGACACAAAAAUGCUAUCUGGUUGUGCUCCAUGACUUCUCCAGCCCCCUGUCAAGCAGCCCCUUGUCCUCAGCAACCCUCCACAGUUGGCAAAUACAGUGUGUUCUUAAUACGGCCAGUAUGUUUGAACGCAGAGGUCCCGGUAGUGGGAGAUAAAUUGAGAGCAAAGAGAUGUCAGGCUGACGACAGCUGUGGGCUACAGCCGAACCAGAUGUCUGCCAAUGUUGACCUUCAGUCGAUUCGCUCUCUCCUGCUCUUUCAAUGCACAUUGAAUAUUUUCAUAGCAGAAUUUGUCUGUCAUGCCUCCCAUGUGCUAGCGCCAUCUAAGACUCAAACUGCAGGAAAGAAACGGUGUCAGUUAGGGGCCGCUGGCUUUUGUUGAGAUGGUUCUCGUUCUAUAUCGUAAGCCUUCUGUGUAGAGUUUGCUGGUUGUACACGGUGUGCAUUCGAUUUCUUUAAGUACCUCAGCCUUAUUU